Molecule: ribosomal RNA, 200 nt
Filed under: uncultured bacterium
Lineage: Bacteria
Description: partial 16S ribosomal RNA
Rfam family: Bacterial small subunit ribosomal RNA
Source: RNAcentral
GAUUAACGCUAGCGGGAGGCCUAAUACAUGCAAGGCAAGGGCGCAGCAAUGUGACCGCCGUACGGGUGCGUAACGCGUAUGCAACCUACCCAUCACAGGGGGACAGCCCAUGGAAACGUGGAUUAAUACCGCAUAAAGCAGGGGCACCGCAUGGUGAUACUGCUAAAGAUUUAUCGGUGAUGGAUGGGCAUGCGUCUGAU